GCAGAACGUAGCUCACAAAGAGCGUUGGUCUUGUAAGCCGAAGGUCAGAUAAAAAUAUCUCGUCUGCU
RNAcentral lists this transfer RNA (68 nucleotides) under Modulus modulus. RNAcentral describes it as "tRNA-Thr". Lineage: Eukaryota; Metazoa; Mollusca; Gastropoda; Modulidae. The record is from RNAcentral.